RNAcentral lists this ribosomal RNA (497 nucleotides) under uncultured bacterium. RNAcentral describes it as "partial 16S ribosomal RNA". It matches the Rfam family "Bacterial small subunit ribosomal RNA", at positions 28 to 506 of the family's 1533-position model. The record is from RNAcentral.
GAUGAACGCUGGCGGCGUGCCUAAUACAUGCAAGUCGAGCGAACAGACGAGGAGCUUGCUCCUCUGACGUUAGCGGCGGACGGGUGAGUAACACGUGGAUAACCUACCUAUAAGACUGGGAUAACUUCGGGAAACCGGAGCUAAUACCGGAUAACAUGUUGAACCGCAUGGUUCAACAGUGAAGGACGGUCUUGCUGUCACUUAUAGAUGGAUCCGCGCCGCAUUAGCUAGUUGGUAAGGUAACGGCUUACCAAGGCAACGAUGCGUAGCCGACCUGAGAGGGGGAGCGGCCACACUAGAAAUUAGACACGGGCCAGAAUCCCAAGGGAGGCAGCAGUAGGGGAACGUACGCAAAGGGACGAAAUCUGAAGGGGCAACGGCGGGUGAGGGAAAAAAGGUUUUGGAUCGGAAAACCUUGUUAUUUGGGGAAAAAAAAAGUGUAAGUAAACAUGCCAGGCUUGAACGGUCCUAAAUAGAAAACCAACGGCAAACUAGGG